RNAcentral lists this non-coding RNA (221 nucleotides) under Luteibacter rhizovicinus. Lineage: Bacteria; Pseudomonadati; Pseudomonadota; Gammaproteobacteria; Lysobacterales; Rhodanobacteraceae. The record is from RNAcentral.
UACACUCGGCGGAUCACAGGUGUCCUGCCGCCGCACACGCAGCGGGCAGGGUGAAACGGGAAGCCGGUGCGGAUCGCGAGAUCCCAUGCCGGCGCUGCCCCCGCAACGGUAGGCGAGAACACCCGACGACGUAACCACUGCGCGAUGCGCGGGAAGGUGUCGGGGUGGUGCGGCAUGCACCGCUCGCAAGCCCGGAGACCGGCCUGUGCAGGUGCCCCCAG